RNAcentral lists this ribosomal RNA (300 nucleotides) under Triticum aestivum (bread wheat). RNAcentral describes it as "partial small subunit ribosomal RNA". Lineage: Eukaryota; Viridiplantae; Streptophyta; Magnoliopsida; Poales; Poaceae. The record is from RNAcentral.
AUGGUUGACGGGGACGCGUCAGGCCGGCUGGAGAGCAUUCUGACGGACUCGUCGGUGCCGCUGGCGAGGCGCGCGUGGGCGGCGGCGACUGUCGAGCUCGUGAUGCUGGCGCGUCUAGCGGCGCCGGCGGUGGUGGUGUACAUGAUCAACUACCUCAUGUCCAUGUCCACGCAGGUCCUCUGCGGCCGCCUCGGGACCCUGGAGUUCGCCGGCGCCCCCAAGAGCCCCCCCAGGGCAUCUCCAGCAAGCGUUGUCUCCAAUAGCAGCCCUAUAAUAGCUCCAACAACUGUCCUAAAAUAG